AACGAACGUUGGCGGCGUGGAUGAGGCAUGCAAGUCGAACGCGAAAGCCGCAAGGCGAGUAAAGUGGCGGACGGGCGAGUAACACGUAAUCAAGCUGCCCAAGAGACGGGGAUAACCUCGGGAAACCGAGGCUAAUACCCGAUGGUCUGCCGGGGGCGCAUGUUCCUGGUAGUAAAUGGACGGGAUCCUUCGGGACCGUCUGCUUUUGGUAGGUGAUUGCGGCCCAUCAGCUAGUUGGUAGGGUAACGGCCUACCAAGGCAACGACGGGUAGCCGGCCUUAGAGGGUGGUCGGCCGCACUGGGACUGAGACACUGCCCAGACUCCUACGGGAGGCUGCAGUCGAGAAUCUUCCGCAAUGGACGCAAGUCUGACGGAGCGACGCCGCGUGGAGGAUGAAGGCCUUCGGUUGUAACUACCUGUCACGAGUUAAGAAGAGGUUGUCACGAACAGUGGCAGCAUUUGACGUAAGCUCGAGAGGAAGCACUGGCUAACUCUGUG
This 499-nucleotide ribosomal RNA is filed under the name uncultured bacterium. Its description in RNAcentral is "bacterial SSU rRNA". It matches the Rfam family "Bacterial small subunit ribosomal RNA", at positions 29 to 507 of the family's 1533-position model. The record is from RNAcentral.